AGCAUGUGGUUAAUUCGAAGCAACGCGAAGAACCUUACCUGGGCUUGACAUCCCUGGAAUCCCCUGGAAACAGGGGAGUGCCUUCGGGAGCCAGGAGACAGGUGCUGCAUGGCUGUCGUCAGCUCGUGUCGUGAGAUGUCGGGUUAAGUCCCGCAACGAGCGCAACCCUCGCCUUUAGUUGCCAGCAUUCAGUUGGGCACUCUAAAGGGACUGCCGGUGUCAAACCGGAGGAAGGUGGGAUGACGUCAAGUCCUCAUGGCCUUUAUGUCUAGGGCUACACACGUACUACAAUGGCAGGUACAAAGGGCAGCGACACAGCGAUGUGAUGCGAAUCCCGAAAAGCCUGUCUCAGUCCGGAUCGGAGUCUGCAACUCGACUCCGUGAAGUUGGAAUCGCUAGUAAUCGCAGGUCAGCAUACUGCGGUGAAUACGUUCCCGGGCCUU
Molecule: ribosomal RNA, 443 nt
Filed under: uncultured Desulfocapsa sp.
Lineage: Bacteria; Pseudomonadati; Thermodesulfobacteriota; Desulfobulbia; Desulfobulbales; Desulfocapsaceae
Description: bacterial SSU rRNA
Rfam family: Bacterial small subunit ribosomal RNA
Source: RNAcentral